AGUGAACGCUGGCGGUAGGCCUAACACAUGCAAGUCGAACGGCAGCACAGUAAGAGCUUGCUCUUACGGGUGGCGAGUGGCGGACGGGUGAGGAAUACAUCGGAAUCUACUUUUUCGUGGGGGUUAACGUAGGGAAACUUACGCUAAUACCGCAUACGACCUACGGGUGAAAGCAGGGGAUCUUCGGACCUUGCGCGAAUGAAUGAGCCGAUGUCGGAUUAGCUAGUUGGCGGGGUAAAGGCCCACCAAGGCGACGAUCCGUAGCUGGUCUGAGAGGAUGAUCAGCCACACUGGAACUGAGACACGGUCCAGACUCCUACGGGAGGCAGCAGUGGGGAAUAUUGGACAAUGGGCGCAAGCCUGAUCCAGCCAUACCGCGUGGGUGAAGAAGGCCUUCGGGUUGUAAAGCCCUUUUGUUGGGAAAGAAAAGCAGCAGGUUAAUACCCCGCUGUUCUGACGGUACCCAAAGAAUAAGCACCGGCUAACUUCGUG
Molecule: ribosomal RNA, 492 nt
Filed under: uncultured bacterium
Lineage: Bacteria
Description: partial 16S ribosomal RNA
Rfam family: Bacterial small subunit ribosomal RNA
Source: RNAcentral